CGCCCACUAGCUAGCUCACCCAACAGCAUAACAUUUAUAUAUAAAUAUACAAGUACCAACAAAUAAACAAACAAACCAUUUUUCCACUUUAGUAUAGGUGAUAGAAAAAGAAUUCGACGCAAUAGAGAAAGUACCGUAAGGGAACGCUGAAAGAGAAAUGAAACAACUCAGUAAAGCACAACAAAGCAGAGCUUACCCCUCGUACCUUUUGCAUCAUGUUUUAGCUAGAGCCCAUCAAGCAAAAAGCAUUGUAGUUUGACAACCCGAAACUAAGGGAGCUACUCCAAGACAGCCUAAUAAUAGGGCCAACCCGUCUCUGUGGCAAUAGAGUGGGAAGAGCUUUGAGUAGAGGUGACAGACCUAUCGAACUUAGUUAUAGCUGGUUACCUGAAAAUUGGAUAGAAGUUCAGCCUCUUGAGUUCCUCCCUCACCUUGAUAUUUUCUAAGUGAGACCCCAAGAAGUCAAGAGAGUUAGUCAAAGGGGGUCCAGCCCCUUUGAAAAAAGAAACAACUUUUCUGGGUGGAUAAAGAUCAAAUUCAUAAAGG
Molecule: ribosomal RNA, 546 nt
Filed under: Chilatherina bleheri (Bleher's rainbowfish)
Lineage: Eukaryota; Metazoa; Chordata; Actinopteri; Atheriniformes; Melanotaeniidae
Description: partial 16S large subunit ribosomal RNA
Rfam family: Bacterial large subunit ribosomal RNA (bases 184-546)
Source: RNAcentral